GGCCAGACUCCUACGGGAGGCAGCAGUGGGGAAUAUUGGGCAAUGGGCGCAAGCCUGACCCAGCAACGCCGCGUGAAGGAAGAAGGCUUUCGGGUUGUAAACUUCUUUUCUCAGGGACGAAUAGAUGACGGUACCUGAGGAAUAAGCCACGGCUAACUACGUGCCAGCAGCCGCGGUAAUACGUAGGUGGCAAGCGUUAUCCGGAAUGAUUGGGCGUAAAGGGUGCGCAGGCGGCGUGUCAAGCAAGCGGUAAAAUAGCGGGGCUCAACCCCGUCGAGCCGUUUGAACUGGCGCGCUUGAGUUCAGGCGAGGUAGGCGGAAUUCGUGGUGUAGCGGUGAAAUGCAUAGAUAUCACGAAGAACUCCGAUUGCGAAGGCAGCUUACCAGUCUGCGACUGACGCUCAGGCACGAAAGUGUGGGUAUCGAACAGGAUUAGAUACCCCUGUA
This 447-nucleotide ribosomal RNA is filed under the name uncultured bacterium. RNAcentral describes it as "bacterial SSU rRNA". It matches the Rfam family "Bacterial small subunit ribosomal RNA", at positions 329 to 792 of the family's 1533-position model. The record is from RNAcentral.